This 494-nucleotide ribosomal RNA is filed under the name uncultured bacterium. Its description in RNAcentral is "partial 16S ribosomal RNA". It matches the Rfam family "Bacterial small subunit ribosomal RNA", at positions 28 to 507 of the family's 1533-position model. The record is from RNAcentral.
GACGAACGCUGGCGGCGUGCUUAACACAUGCAAGUCGAACGGUGAAGCGCCUUCCUUUUUGGUGGGUGUGGAUGAGUGGCGAACGGGUGAGUAACACGUGAGUAACCUGCCCCCUUCUUCUGGAUAACCGCAUGAAAGUGUGGCUAAUACGGGAUAUUCUGGGUCUGUCGCAUGAUGGGUCUGGGAAAGAUAUUGUUUCGGUUGGGGAUGGGCUCGCGGCCUAUCAGCUUGUUGGUGGGGUGAUGGCCUACCAAGGCGGUGACGGGUAGCCGGCCUGAGAGGGUGGACGGUCACACUGGGACUGAGACACGGCCCAGACUCCUACGGGAGGCAGCAGUGGGGAAUAUUGCACAAUGGGCGCAAGCCUGAUGCAGCGACGCCGCGUGAGGGAUGGAGGCCUGCGGGUUGUGAACCUCUUUCGCCAGUGAAGCAGGCCUGCCUCGUUUGUGGGUGGGUUGACGGUAGCUGGAUAAGAAGCGCCGGCUAACUACGUG